RNAcentral lists this ribosomal RNA (2892 nucleotides) under Escherichia coli. RNAcentral describes it as "23S ribosomal RNA". It matches the Rfam family "Bacterial large subunit ribosomal RNA". The record is from RNAcentral. Lineage: Bacteria; Pseudomonadati; Pseudomonadota; Gammaproteobacteria; Enterobacterales; Enterobacteriaceae.
CCCUGGCAGUCAGAGGCGAUGAAGGACGUGCUAAUCUGCGAUAAGCGUCGGUAAGGUGAUAUGAACCGUUAUAACCGGCGAUUUCCGAAUGGGGAAACCCAGUGUGUUUCGACACACUAUCAUUAACUGAAUCCAUAGGUUAAUGAGGCGAACCGGGGGAACUGAAACAUCUAAGUACCCCGAGGAAAAGAAAUCAACCGAGAUUCCCCCAGUAGCGGCGAGCGAACGGGGAGCAGCCCAGAGCCUGAAUCAGUGUGUGUGUUAGUGGAAGCGUCUGGAAAGGCGCGCGAUACAGGGUGACAGCCCCGUACACAAAAAUGCACAUACUGUGAGCUCGAUGAGUAGGGCGGGACACGUGGUAUCCUGUCUGAAUAUGGGGGGACCAUCCUCCAAGGCUAAAUACUCCUGACUGACCGAUAGUGAACCAGUACCGUGAGGGAAAGGCGAAAAGAACCCCGGCGAGGGGAGUGAAAAAGAACCUGAAACCGUGUACGUACAAGCAGUGGGAGCCUCUUAAUGGGGUGACUGCGUACCUUUUGUAUAAUGGGUCAGCGACUUAUAUUCUGUAGCAAGGUUAACCGAAUAGGGGAGCCGAAGGGAAACCGAGUCUUAACUGGGCGUUAAGUUGCAGGGUAUAGACCCGAAACCCGGUGAUCUAGCCAUGGGCAGGUUGAAGGUUGGGUAACACUAACUGGAGGACCGAACCGACUAAUGUUGAAAAAUUAGCGGAUGACUUGUGGCUGGGGGUGAAAGGCCAAUCAAACCGGGAGAUAGCUGGUUCUCCCCGAAAGCUAUUUAGGUAGCGCCUCGUGAAUUCAUCUCCGGGGGUAGAGCACUGUUUCGGCAAGGGGGUCAUCCCGACUUACCAACCCGAUGCAAACUGCGAAUACCGGAGAAUGUUAUCACGGGAGACACACGGCGGGUGCUAACGUCCGUCGUGAAGAGGGAAACAACCCAGACCGCCAGCUAAGGUCCCAAAGUCAUGGUUAAGUGGGAAACGAUGUGGGAAGGCCCAGACAGCCAGGAUGUUGGCUUAGAAGCAGCCAUCAUUUAAAGAAAGCGUAAUAGCUCACUGGUCGAGUCGGCCUGCGCGGAAGAUGUAACGGGGCUAAACCAUGCACCGAAGCUGCGGCAGCGACACUAUGUGUUGUUGGGUAGGGGAGCGUUCUGUAAGCCUGUGAAGGUGUACUGUGAGGUAUGCUGGAGGUAUCAGAAGUGCGAAUGCUGACAUAAGUAACGAUAAAGCGGGUGAAAAGCCCGCUCGCCGGAAGACCAAGGGUUCCUGUCCAACGUUAAUCGGGGCAGGGUGAGUCGACCCCUAAGGCGAGGCCGAAAGGCGUAGUCGAUGGGAAACAGGUUAAUAUUCCUGUACUUGGUGUUACUGCGAAGGGGGGACGGAGAAGGCUAUGUUGGCCGGGCGACGGUUGUCCCGGUUUAAGCGUGUAGGCUGGUUUUCCAGGCAAAUCCGGAAAAUCAAGGCUGAGGCGUGAUGACGAGGCACUACGGUGCUGAAGCAACAAAUGCCCUGCUUCCAGGAAAAGCCUCUAAGCAUCAGGUAACAUCAAAUCGUACCCCAAACCGACACAGGUGGUCAGGUAGAGAAUACCAAGGCGCUUGAGAGAACUCGGGUGAAGGAACUAGGCAAAAUGGUGCCGUAACUUCGGGAGAAGGCACGCUGAUAUGUAGGUGAAGUCCCUUGCGGAUGGAGCUGAAAUCAGUCGAAGAUACCAGCUGGCUGCAACUGUUUAUUAAAAACACAGCACUGUGCAAACACGAAAGUGGACGUAUACGGUGUGACGCCUGCCCGGUGCCGGAAGGUUAAUUGAUGGGGUUAGCGGUAACGCGAAGCUCUUGAUCGAAGCCCCGGUAAACGGCGGCCGUAACUAUAACGGUCCUAAGGUAGCGAAAUUCCUUGUCGGGUAAGUUCCGACCUGCACGAAUGGCGUAAUGAUGGCCAGGCUGUCUCCACCCGAGACUCAGUGAAAUUGAACUCGCUGUGAAGAUGCAGUGUACCCGCGGCAAGACGGAAAGACCCCGUGAACCUUUACUAUAGCUUGACACUGAACAUUGAGCCUUGAUGUGUAGGAUAGGUGGGAGGCUUUGAAGUGUGGACGCCAGUCUGCAUGGAGCCGGCCUUGAAAUACCACCCUUUAAUGUUUGAUGUUCUAACGUUGGCCCCUGAUCGGGGUUGCGGACAGUGUCUGGUGGGUAGUUUGACUGGGGCGGUCUCCUCCUAAAGAGUAACGGAGGAGCACGAAGGUUGGCUAAUCCUGGUCGGACAUCAGGAGGUUAGUGCAAUGGCAUAAGCCAGCUUGACUGCGAGCGUGACGGCGCGAGCAGGUGCGAAAGCAGGUCAUAGUGAUCCGGUGGUUCUGAAUGGAAGGGCCAUCGCUCAACGGAUAAAAGGUACUCCGGGGAUAACAGGCUGAUACCGCCCAAGAGUUCAUAUCGACGGCGGUGUUUGGCACCUCGAUGUCGGCUCAUCACAUCCUGGGGCUGAAGUAGGUCCCAAGGGUAUGGCUGUUCGCCAUUUAAAGUGGUACGCGAGCUGGGUUUAGAACGUCGUGAGACAGUUCGGUCCCUAUCUGCCGUGGGCGCUGGAGAACUGAGGGGGGCUGCUCCUAGUACGAGAGGACCGGAGUGGACGCAUCACUGGUGUUCGGGUUGUCAUGCCAAUGGCACUGCCCGGUAGCUAAAUGCGGAAGAGAUAAGUGCUGAAAGCAUCUAAGCACGAAACUUGCCCCGAGAUGAGUUCUCCCUGACUCCUUGAGAGUCCUGAAGGAACGUUGAAGACGACGACGUUGAUAGGCCGGGUGUGUAAGCGCAGCGAUGCGUUGAGCUAACCGGUACUAAUGAACCGUGAGGCUUAACCUUACAACGCCGAAGGUGUUU